GCCCGUUGUGCCCGCAUGGGGCUGAGGCUGAAGGCCCGGGGCCAGGCUGUGGCCGGAGGCCAGAUUCGAACCCGGCGGUCCCCGCCGCGACCAUGGCCUUCGGGCAUCUCCGGACAGCUUCGUGCCAAGUUCGGGAACGGCCGCUGGUUGGUCACGUGGCACCUGUGCCAGGGUUCGGGUAUUUCCGGACAAUCCCGAGUGAGGUUCGGGCAUCUCCGGAUGGCGCUCGGCCGUUUCCGGCUGGGCCAGGGAAGCGGCCGUUGGCAAGGGGUCCGGCUCUCCCCGGAGCAGCUGCCCGCCGCGCCAGGGCGGAAGUGCGGCGGCGUGGUACGUCAGUUCCGGAGAGUGACGCAGCGGCGGGUCAGAGGCGGCGGCAAAAUGGCGGCGCCUGAGGAGCGGGAGCUGACGGCGGAGCAGACCGAGCGGCUGCUGCAGUUCCAGGACUUGACUGGCAUAGAGUCUAUGGACCAGUGUCGUCAUACCCUGGAGCAACACAACUGGAACAUAGAGGCAGCUGUACAGGACCGGUUGAAUGAGCAAGAGGGCGUCCCAAGUGUCUUCAAUCCACCUCCAUCCCGGCCGUUGCAGGUCAAUACAGCCGACCACAGGAUCUACAGCUAUGUUGUUUCAAGGCCGCAACCAAGGGGCCUGUUGGGAUGGGGUUACUACUUGAUAAUGGUUCCAUUCCGAUUUACGUAUUACACGUUACUUGAUAUAUUUAGGUUUGCUGUGCGUUUUAUACGCCCUGACCCUCGCAGUAGGGUCACGGACCCAGUGGGUGACAUUGUUUCAUUUAUUCAUAUGUUUGAGGAAAAAUAUGGGAGGAUACACCCUGUCUUCUACCAGGGAACAUACAGCCAGGCGCUGAAUGACGCUAAGCGGGAGCUGCGCUUCCUGUUGGUUUAUCUUCACGGUGAUGACCACCAAGAUUCAGAUGAAUUCUGUCGCAACACACUGUGUGCACCGGAGGUGAUCACCCUCAUCAACACUAGGAUGCUUUUCUGGGCAUGCUCCACAAACAAACCAGAGGGAUACAGAGUGUCCCAGGCUCUGCGUGAGAACACAUACCCAUUCCUCGCCAUGAUUAUGUUGAAAGAUCGCAGAAUGACGGUGGUGGGGCGGCUAGAAGGCCUCAUCCAGCCUGAUGACCUCAUUAACCAGCUGACAUUCAUCAUGGAUGCCAACCAGACAUACUUGGUGUCUGAGCGCCUGGAAAGGGAGGAGAGAAACCAAACGCAGGUCCUGAGGCAGCAGCAGGAUGAGGCGUACCUGGCUUCUCUGCGGGCGGAUCAGGAAAAGGAACGCAAAAAAAAGGAGGAACGGGAGAGGAAGAAGAGAAGGGAGGAAGAGGUACAGCAGCAGAAGCUAGCGGAGGAGAGACGGCGCCAGACUCUGCAGGAGGAGAAGGUGCGCAAAUCGGAAUGCCUUCCUCCAGAGCCGCAUCCCGAUGACCCAGAGAGCGUGAAGAUCAUUUUCAAGCUGCCCAAUGAUUCCAGAGUGGAGAGGCGAUUCCAUUUCACACAGUCGUUAACGGUGAUCCAUGACUUCCUAUUCUCCUUGAAGGAGAGCCCAGAGAAGUUCCAGAUUGAGGCCAACUUCCCUCGCCGUGUCCUGCCCUGCCUCCCUACAGAGGAGUGGCCCAACCCCCCCACGCUGCAGGAGGCUGGACUCAGCCACACGGAAGUUCUCUUUGUUCAGGACCUCACGGACGAUUGACACUUUUCCAAAACACAAUGGAAGGAGAAAUUCAGAUUAUUAUUAUAAUACAAUAUUUUUUUUAAAGACUGCUGCGUACAAAUGAGGGAUCAGAGACCACGUCACCUGCGCCAGCCACUCUGUGUCUGCACUGGCACGAGAUCCAUGGCUCACCUACUCCCAUGCACAGUCAUCCCCUUACACUUGAUGGCAGAGAGGGAGGGGGGCCACCAUUGCCCUCCCCAGGGAAGGGCAGAAAUGGCAGCUCUUGGUAUUGAUGGCUGAGUGCCCUCUCCCUUGACAGCCCACUGCUCAUAGUCUACUGCUUUCCCCAGGAAGGACCCAGGUAUCAUGUAAGGGAAGGCAGCAGGAGCCCUGCAAGGGAAUCUAUUGGUCCCCUUUCCUUUCUUUGGCUGCAUCUCAGCCAGGCAGCCUGAAAAGACUCUUGCAUCUUAAGUACGGGCCUUUUUGCUGACCGAGUGUAGAGACAGCGCUCUGGGCCACCUGAACAGAAGAACUCUCUGCUGAAGAAGUGCAGUCCUGGGUCUCUGCAGCCUGAGAAUCGUGCUGAAAGGAACGUGGGCCAGGCAGGGAUAAGGCGGCACAGCCAGCCAGGACCCUGGCUUCCACCACCCAGCCUAGGAAGAGCGAAGCUGUACUCGCCUGCAGCACCUGAGCUGCACCUGGUGCUCGGAGCAGCCAGCAGCUUCAGUCCAUUUCUGCCCCGUGGCUCCUGGUUACCGCUGCAGCAGGAAGACGGAAUCCACAGCAAGCUGCAGGUCCCACACAGCCGCAGGGGCAGGUGCUCCUGACAGCAUGGAGCAGAGCCCAGGACUGUUUCGCCUGCUUGUGCAAACCUCAUUUAUCACUGGACACUGAGCGGGUCAGGAGCAAGGGGCUGCUUCCCCCCAGGGCCUGGCCCCCUGCUCCCAUCAGUCACCGGGGUACAGCUGCGACUCUCACUUGUGGGCAGGGGUGGCCAGGCUCCUGCCCCUGUGCAAGGGCAACACGGACCCCUCCCCUCUUCGAUCCCAUAGGGAGGUGCAGCACCUGGAAGCUGCAGGCCCAGCAUGCAAUGCAGAAGGGAAGUGUGACUCACGCUAGAGCAUUGCAUGCUGGGCCCUGCAGGCUCCAGGACAUGCUGCCCGCUGUGCUGGGUGUAGACUUGGGGCCAGCCCCAGGCUGCCGGGAAGCUGACGACGUGAUUGGCAGCUGGGGGAGCAGGCGUUGAGCCCCACGCUAAGCGGGCGAGCACCCGUGGCGCUCCAUGGGCCAGCAGUAGCCAGAGGCAACGAGGAGAGAGAGGCUGGGUGCGGCGCAUUGGUAUACAUCAUACAUU
Molecule: RNA transcript, 3034 nt
Organism: Caretta caretta (loggerhead turtle)
Lineage: Eukaryota; Metazoa; Chordata; Testudines; Cheloniidae
Gene: FAF2
Gene name: Fas associated factor family member 2
Source: RefSeq, a predicted model, not a curated record